RNAcentral lists this ribosomal RNA (460 nucleotides) under uncultured bacterium. RNAcentral's name for it is "partial 16S ribosomal RNA". It matches the Rfam family "Bacterial small subunit ribosomal RNA", at positions 338 to 795 of the family's 1533-position model. The record is from RNAcentral.
CCUACGGGUGGCAGCAGUGAGGAAUAUUGGUCAAUGGACGAGAGUCUGAACCAGCCAAGUAGCGUGAAGGAUGACUGCCCUAUGGGUUGUAAACAUCUUUUAUAUGGGAAUAAAAUGUUCCACGUGUGGGAUUUUGUAUGUACCUUAUGAACAAGGAUCGGCUAACUCAGUGCCAGCAGCCGCGGUAAUAUGGAGGAUCCGAGCGUUAUCCGGAUUUAUUGGGUUUACAGGGAGCGUAGGUGGAUUGUUAAGUCAGUUGUGAAAGUUUGGGGCUCAACCGUAAAAGUGCAGUUGAAACUGGCAGGCUUGAGUACAGUAGAGGUGGGCAGAAUUCGUGGUGUAGCGGUGAAAUGCUUAGAGAUCACGAAGAACUCCGAUUGCGAAGGCAGCUCACUGGACUGCAACUGACACUGAGGCUCGAAAGUGUGGGUAUCAAACAGGAUUAGAUACCCGUGUAGUC